UACGGGGGGGGCAAGCGUUGUUCGGAAUUACUGGGCGUAAAGGGCUCGUAGGUGGUCAACUAAGUCAUACGUGAAAUCCCUCGGCUUAACCGGGGAACUGCGCCUGAUACUGGUUGACUUGAGUUUGGGAGAGGGACGCGGAAUUCCAGGUGUAGCGGCGAAAUGCGUAGAUAUCUGGAGGAACACCGGUGGCGAAGGCGGCGUCCUGGACCAAUACUGACACUGAGGAGCGAAAGCCAGGGGAGCAAACGGG
Molecule: ribosomal RNA, 253 nt
Filed under: uncultured bacterium
Lineage: Bacteria
Description: partial 16S ribosomal RNA
Rfam family: Bacterial small subunit ribosomal RNA
Source: RNAcentral